This 76-nucleotide small RNA is filed under the name Methylobacterium symbioticum. RNAcentral describes it as "Makes More Granules Regulator RNA (mmgR)". It matches the Rfam family "Makes More Granules Regulator RNA (mmgR)". From Rfam's summary of the family: SuhB later renamed mmgR (makes more granules regulator) was a putative non-coding RNA found multiple times in the Agrobacterium tumefaciens genome and related alpha-proteobacteria. Lineage: Bacteria; Pseudomonadati; Pseudomonadota; Alphaproteobacteria; Hyphomicrobiales; Methylobacteriaceae. The record is from Rfam by way of RNAcentral.
UCCCGCUGCCCUCUAUGGGCGUUUCCUCCCUAGACUUCGGGCCGCUCCUCCGGGAGUGGCCUUUUUUCUGGGUUGC